RNAcentral lists this long non-coding RNA (1104 nucleotides) under Homo sapiens (human). Its description in RNAcentral is "LNC_000582". The record is from RNAcentral. Lineage: Eukaryota; Metazoa; Chordata; Mammalia; Primates; Hominidae.
CGCCCUCGGCGCCUCAGGAAGCCUCGAGCUGGGAUCCAGGCUUGGGCGACCGAGGUGAGCCGGCCUGGCCAGCGGGAAGCCCACAGGCCUGAGGCCGCCCAGUUCCCGCCCAUCCUGCGCCCGCCCGGUCUGACCGAUGUCCUUGGCCUUGCGCGGCACCAGGCGCCGCUGCAACCAGACCAUCUUGAUGGCGUCCAGGCGGAUCUCCACGAGGUUGCUGAAGAGCGCGAGCAGCGGCGCCAGCGGGAAGGCGGCCACGAAGAUGGUGGUGAAGCCGUACUGGAUCACUGCGCGGUGGGGGUCAGGCUCACCGGCGCCCCGCACUCAUGUCCGCGGACCCCCGCCCCGCAUUCGUCUCCGCGAACCCCCGCCCCGCAGCGCCCACGCACUCAUCUCCAUGAACUCGUCGAACAGGCUGAAGGUGUUGACCGGGUUCAGAAGGUAGUUGCGCCGCCAGUCCCUGAGCUCGGGGUCCCGGGGCAGGUGCCCGGACUCGGAGGCCCGCAGAGAGCGGCACUUGUGGGUCACCCACCUGCGGGGAGAGCUGCGUGGCAGGGAGGGCGCAGGGGGCGGAGGGGCCUGGGGCUCCCGGGGCUGGGCGGGGGUCGGCACUCACGGGACCAGGUACUCGACGCAGUUGCUGAGCGUCUGCUUCAGGCCCAUGAUGAUGGCCAUCUGCACGAAGAGGUCCAUCAUGCAGCCGCUGGCGUGGCACUGCGGGGCCAGACAGGAGGAGAUCAGGGAGGGGUCCUGGGGGACGGUCAGGGGAGCAGUGGCUCAGGGACAGGGCAUGAAGCCUGGGGGUGACUGACCUCUUCCAGCUUCCACAAGCCCGCCAGGCGCGUGGACUUCCCGGGGUGGCCGUUGAUCCUGGGGAGGAAGGGGAAGUCUGGGGCACUGCGGGCAGCGCCCUGCCUCUGACAGGGUGGGUGCAGCAGGACAGAAGCGGGUAGGAAAGACACAGAACAGGCGGGGCAGGCCCUGCAGGUGAGCGGGGCACAGGUGCUCACACCCAGAUGAACCGCACCCGCACGUGGGCACGCACACACACACACACACACACAGGGGAGGCCACAGGCUCCCAGAUGAACCGCACCCACACGU